Molecule: ribosomal RNA, 274 nt
Filed under: uncultured bacterium
Lineage: Bacteria
Description: partial 16S ribosomal RNA
Rfam family: Bacterial small subunit ribosomal RNA
Source: RNAcentral
AUACGGAGGGGGCAAGCGUUGUUCGGAAUUACUGGGCGUAAAGCGCGCGUAGGCGGACUAUCAAGUCAGGGGUGAAAGGCCUGGGCUCAACCCGGGAACUGCCUUUGAAACUGAAAGUCUAGAGUCCGAGAGAGGAUAGCGGAAUUCCCAGUGUAGAGGUGAAAUUCGUAGAUAUUGGGAAGAACACCAGUGGCGAAGGCGGCUAUCUGGCUCGGUACUGACGCUGAGGCGCGAAAGCGUGGGGAGCAAACAGGAUUAGAAACCCCGGUAGUCC